Molecule: ribosomal RNA, 467 nt
Filed under: uncultured bacterium
Lineage: Bacteria
Description: partial 16S ribosomal RNA
Rfam family: Bacterial small subunit ribosomal RNA
Source: RNAcentral
GACGAACGCUGGCGGCGUGCUUAACACAUGCCAGUCGAACGGAAAGGCCCUGCUUUUGUGGGGUGCUCGAGUGGCGAACGGGUGAGUAACACGUGAGUAACCUGCCCUUGACUUUGGGAUAACUUCAGGAAACUGGGGCUAAUACCGGAUAGGAGCUCCUGCUGCAUGGUGGGGGUUGGAAAGUUUCGGCGGUUGGGGAUGGACUCGCGGCUUAUCAGCUUGUUGGUGGGGUAGUGGCUUACCAAGGCUUUGACGGGUAGCCGGCCUGAGAGGGUGACCGGCCACAUUGGGACUGAGAGACGGCCCAGACUCCUACGGGAGGCAGCAGUGGGGAAUAUUGCACAAUGGGCGGAAGCCUGAUGCAGCAACGCCGCGUGCGGGAUGACGGCCUUCGGGUGGUAAACCGCUUUCGCCUGUGACGAAGCGUGAGUGACGGUAAUGGGUAAAGAAGCACCGGCUAAUUACGU